This 774-nucleotide ribosomal RNA is filed under the name uncultured Glomeromycotina. RNAcentral describes it as "bacterial SSU rRNA". It matches the Rfam family "Eukaryotic small subunit ribosomal RNA", at positions 338 to 1092 of the family's 1831-position model. The record is from RNAcentral. Lineage: Eukaryota; Fungi; Glomeromycota.
GGCCUACCAUGGUCGCAACGGGUAACGGGGAAUUAGGGUUCGAUUCCGGAGAGGGAGCCUGAGAAACGGCUACCACAUCCAAGGAAGGCAGCAGGCGCGCAAAUUACCCAAUCCCGACACGGGGAGGUAGUGACAAUACAUAACAAUGCGCGGCUCAUUGAGCCGGGCAAUUGGAAUGAGCACACGGUAAACAGGUUAGCGAGGAACAAUUGGAGGGCAAGUCUGGUGCCAGCAGCCGCGGUAAUUCCAGCUCCAAUAGCGUAUAUUAAAGUUGUUGCAGUUAAAAAGCUCGUAGUUGGAAGUUGGGCACGGCCGGGCGGUCCGCCCUUUGGGCGCGUACUGCUCUCGUAGCGGCGUUUGCGCGUCGCGAGGCUGAGCCUUGUGCCGCGUCCUCUGCAUGAUGCCGCAAGGUGUGGUGCAGCGGGACAGGCAGUUACCUUGAAAAAAUUAGAGUGUUUAAAGCGGGCAUUUUUGCCUGAAUACAUUAGCAUGGAAUAAUAAAAUAGGACGAUGGUUCUAUUUUGUUGGUUUUAGGACCACGUAAUGAUUAAUAGGGAUAGUUGGGGGCAUUAGUAUUCAAUUGUCAGAGGUGAAAUUCUUGGAUUUAUUGAGGACUAACUACUGCGAAAGCAUUUGCCAAGGAUGUUUUCAUUAAUCAAGAACGAAAGUUAGGGGAUCAAAGACGAUUUAUGUACGUCGUAGUCUUAACCAUAAACUAUGCCGACUAGGAAUCAGACAAAGUUCAUUUUUUGACGACUUGUUUGGUACCUUACG